CAGAGCUGGACCUGCAGCGGACGCUGAGUUUGCAGGCGCCACCUGUGAAGGAGGGGCCACUCUUCAUCCACAGGACCAAGGGCAAGGGCCCCCUCAUGUCCUCCUCCUUCAAGAAGCUCUACUUCUCCCUCACUACCGAGGCCCUCAGCUUCCCGAAGACGCCCAGCUCCAAGGGGCCUCCUGCUGCGCACUCCAAGGGGGUGCACGUUUCCAAAGAGAGAUCAAGGGACAUGGGGAAAGGAGAAAGGGCUCUGGUGGCGGCAGCGGCGGACACUUGGGGUCUGGACGCAACGGCGGCGGGAGCAUGAAAGCCCUUCCAGCCUUCGAGUCGUUCUUGCUCUUCGAGGGCGAGAAGAAACAACUCCUAAAGGACCCACAAGUGCUAUUUGCUGGCUACAAAGUCCCCCACCCCUUGGAGCACAAGAUCAUCAUCCGAGUGCAGACCACGCUGGACUACAGCCCCAGGAAGCCUUUACCAACGCCAUCACCGACCUCAUCAGUGAGCUGUCCCUGCUGGAGGAGCGCUUCCGGACGUGCCUGCUUCCCCUUCG
This 551-nucleotide long non-coding RNA is filed under the name Pan troglodytes (chimpanzee). RNAcentral describes it as "long non-coding RNA NONPTRT016138". The record is from RNAcentral. Lineage: Eukaryota; Metazoa; Chordata; Mammalia; Primates; Hominidae.